This 253-nucleotide ribosomal RNA is filed under the name uncultured bacterium. RNAcentral's name for it is "partial 16S ribosomal RNA". It matches the Rfam family "Bacterial small subunit ribosomal RNA", at positions 524 to 776 of the family's 1533-position model. The record is from RNAcentral.
UACGAAGGGGGCUAGCGUUGCUCGGAAUGACUGGGCGUAAAGGGCGCGUAGGCGGUUUGGCCAGUCAGAUGUGAAAUUCCUGGGCUCAACCUGGGAGCUGCAUUUGAUACGUGCGGACUAGAGUGGGGAAGAGGGUCGUGGAAUUCCCAGUGUAGAGGUGAAAUUCGUAGAUAUUGGGAAGAACACCGGUGGCGAAGGCGGCGACCUGGUCCGUGACUGACGCUGAGGCGCGAAAGCGUGGGGAGCAAACAGG